UGGCAACCCCAGCCAGCAGCAGCAACCCGCUUGGGUCCUGUUUUAGGUUGUGGAAGGUUUGUUCUUUGCUCUUGCAAUAAAUCUUGCUGCUGCUCACUCUUUGGAUCCAUGCCAUCUUUAAGAGCUGCAAUACUCACCAUGAAGGUCUGUGGCUCCAUUCUUGAAGUCAGCGAGACCACAAACCCACCAGAAGCAACAGACUCCAGACACAAUGGCACAAUGUGACUCUAGGAGAUAGAGUUCUCUGCCUGCCAUUUAUAGGAGAGGUACCACCUCCAGGGUCUAUUAGAAUUGGGCUGAGAUGUACCCUAGGCAUCGCAAUUUUUAAAAGCUGCUCAGAAACUUCAAAUGGGAAGCUAAAAUGCAGAAGCACAGCUCUAAAAGAGACAGAGUCUCACUCUGUCACCAAAGCUGCAGUGCAGUGGCAUGAACUCAGCUCACUGCAACCUCUGCCUCACGGGUUCAAGCAAUUCUCCAGCCUCGGCCUCCUGAGUAGCUGCGAUUACAGUUGGUCAGCCCAGGAUGGCCAAAGUAAUGUUUUCGCUAACCACAUCCUGUUGGUUGUAGUUUUUCACUCCAGUGCAUAGUGUGAUGACUACGGGAAAACCAAAACUAAAAACAAACAUCUUUCACCUCUAAGAACAUGUGGCCUUGGGUACUAUCGGGAGGCCGUGGAAGCCUAAAAUUUGGAUAUAAUGCCCUGGAUCAUGAAAAUAAGAAACAAAAUCCCAAGAUGCUUCCUUUGGAUAUACCUCAUACCUAAUCCAUUUUGCCACCUUUGCAAUAGCUGAUGUUUUUCCUGGUGUACUUCUUUUUGUUAGGUGAAUUAUCCAUGGAAAACUAAAAAUUCCCUCCAAAAUUGUUAAAUUCUAAGUAGUGAUUUCAGGGCCAUAGCUACGUAUUUUAAUAGAAAUGAAAACAUAAAUGAAAAA
Molecule: long non-coding RNA, 932 nt
Organism: Homo sapiens (human)
Lineage: Eukaryota; Metazoa; Chordata; Mammalia; Primates; Hominidae
Source: Ensembl